GGGAAGGUGGCUCAGUGGUAGAGCGCUUGCCUUGAAUGCAUGAGGCCCUGGGUUCGAUUCAGCACCCCA
Molecule: non-coding RNA, 69 nt
Organism: Dipodomys ordii (Ord's kangaroo rat)
Lineage: Eukaryota; Metazoa; Chordata; Mammalia; Rodentia; Heteromyidae
Source: Rfam